This 263-nucleotide ribosomal RNA is filed under the name uncultured bacterium. RNAcentral describes it as "partial 16S ribosomal RNA". It matches the Rfam family "Bacterial small subunit ribosomal RNA", at positions 793 to 1055 of the family's 1533-position model. The record is from RNAcentral.
GUCCUGGCCGUAAACGUUGGAUACUAGGUGUAGGAGGUAUCGACCCCUUCUGUGCCGCAGCUAACGCACUAAGUAUCCCGCCUGUGGAGUACGACCGCAAGGUUGAAACUCAAAGGAAUUGACGGGGGCCCGCACAAGCGGUGGAGUAUGUGGUUUAAUUCGACGCAACGCGAAGAACCUUACCGAGGCUUGACAUGCACAGGACAGGCGUAGAAAUACGCCCUCCCUUCGGGGUCUGUGCACAGGUGCUGCAUGGCUGUCGU